UACGGAGGGUGCGAGCGUUGUCCGGAAUCACUGGGCGUAAAGGGCGCGUAGGCGGCGCGGAUAGUCGGCGGUGAAAGCCCGGGGCUUAACCCCGGGUCGGCAGUGGAUACGGGCAGGCUAGAGGUAGGUAGGGGGAGAAUGGAAUUCCCGGUGUAGCGGUGAAAUGCGCAGGAUAUCGGGAGGAACACCGGUGGCGAAGGCGGUUCUCUGG
RNAcentral lists this ribosomal RNA (211 nucleotides) under uncultured bacterium. RNAcentral describes it as "partial 16S ribosomal RNA". It matches the Rfam family "Bacterial small subunit ribosomal RNA", at positions 524 to 732 of the family's 1533-position model. The record is from RNAcentral.